GAAAAAGACCCGGGCUCCCCUCACUUCUGCUCCCGGCCCAGCGUCACUGCGCCUGGUCCCAUUGGUCCAGUGCAAGGAGGACACUGGACGGCUUAGCUCCCCAGUAGGAGCAGCAUUUUCCCCACCGUGGUGACGGUCCCUCCUCCGGGCACAUGGUUCUCUCCUCCUCCCUGUAUCCCUUCGGCAGGAGGAGCCGAGCUGCUGCUCUGCCCAGGAGGAGCUCCCGUGCUCGCCCACCAGUCCUGCCAGCACUCACACCGAGCUUCUGUGAGCAGACAGGUGGCAGUCCGGGCGUCCAGCGGCAGGGGAGGAGGCCCCAGGUGCUGGCGGCUGUCCCCAAGGCAGGCUGGCACACUGUGGCCCAAGGGGAGCCUCUUCACAUCAACCUACAGGACCCGCCAGAGGCAGCCACCUGCCUGGAACUCUCCAGAAGCCCUCUCUCUGAACCUGGACCAGGGGCUCACCAAGAAGGCCAGUCAGACAAAGUGGACAAUUUUGCUGGUCUGGAAAAUCCUGAAAUCUGGAAACAACUGAUCUAGUGAUUAACAGAAGAAAACAUGAAUGCAAUCGGUUUGCCCAUCACUUGGCGAUAAGUGUUUUAACAGGUAAGUCACCGGGGACAACGUGGCUUGAAGGUGGCAGAGAUAGACCUGGAAGCAGGUGCCCCUGCAUGCUCCUUCGUGCGACAGCUGCAGCGAGUCUGCACGCCAUGCCUGUGGAAUGAAAGAGCAAGUCUUCACAUGGAUUUAUUGCCGUGUCUCAUUUUUCACCGAUUCCGAUGGAGUCAUCCUCGCCCCACGCCACUCGGGGUGGGAGAUGUGACUGUACCUGGGAACACCUGAGGUCAUCGCGCGCAUUCUCUUGCUGCAUCAUUUCCAGGCAGAGUCACCUUUCCGAGGCUCUGCCAGCUCCCUGUCAGGAAGGGAGGGGCCGGCAAAGCAGGAGACACCACCCGCAACUCCAGCAUCCUUUCCCCAGCUCUCCCUCCCAGUGUGGUCCAGUCUGGCUCUCCCUGAGUGAAGCGGGCCACAAAGAUGAAGCCGGAAACUCUCUGGAGGGAAGCAGUGCAGCCCUCACCCUCCAGGCUCUUCCCAAGUGAUGGGAAGAAGACGGCUGAUGGGUCCCAGUGGGAGAAAAAGGUCCCGCUUCAGCCCCACCCUGGCUGUUUGUGCAAGCCCGUAAUGAGCCUGCCUCACGUGUGUUGGAAGUGGUCCAGCUCCUGAUGAUUCCUACAGAUAUUGUUUUAACUCUAUAUUUCUGUGUCCAGCAAGAUGUGGGAUAAAAUUUCCUGGGAACCGUCCUGCCCCCACGCAUCUAGGAAAGUCCCGGGGAGUCAUACCAGCAGCCUUUCCAACACACAGCAGAGCUUGAUUGAAAAACAGCAGAGUCUAAAGGUUUCCCCAAAGGACCAGGAAAGAGGAGGCAGAGAGAUUUCCAGGGGGUGCGCCCGCUGCUCUGGGGCAGCACAGGGCAGGGCAUUUCAGGCCACAGAUGAACACUGAGCAGGUGGAAAUGAGACCCCCCACAUUGAACAGACCCCUUUCUAGGGAAACUAGAAAAAGAACGUUCUGGGAGUAAAGGGUGACAUCAAGGAAACUGGUAUGCAAGAAGCUGCACGAUCUCAGAAAUCCAUGCAAACACUCCUAUAAAAGGGGAUGUCCCCUGGGAACACCGAGGGCUCCCACAGAAGCCCCUGCACAGGGCAACAUCGGGGAUGGGCGCUCUGAAGACCCCUUGGCUCAGCUGCAUUAGGGAACACAGAUUCCAAGUUGCAGACUCUCUGGGGAAAGCCGGCAGAUGAAACCACCCAGGGUACAACUGAGCUUAGACCAAUGGAUAAGUAAAAUGACCAAAGAUGCUUCAAAAGGAAUUGAAAAUGUGAAAAGGAAAUCAGACUUGGCCACAUUUUAAUCUUAGCCCUCACAGUGCUGUGAUGUGGGCAAAAUGGAUGUGAUUAUCCCUGUUUUGCGGUAGGCACCUGAAGUCCAGAUAGUUCUGGGUCUUCUCAAGGAUCCUACAUUUAUUACAGACACAGCUGAGGGUUAACAGGUGUGUCAGGGGCACUAAGGACCCACAUCCAACUCCCCUACUAGCCAAGAACAGCCUGUGUGGCCACGGAGCAGCUAAGCCUCAUUCCUGAGCACAUUUUUCUAAGACAGCAGUUCCAUCAGACACACCUUUGGGAAAUCGUUCGACAUUUAGCCCACGCUGUAGUAAAGGGCUGGUUGGCAUUAUCUGCUCUAAUAAUAAAACCAUACAUAUUCAUUUUUUUAAAAAAAAUCAUCAAAGCAACUCUGCAGUGAAAGAUAGCAAACGCCCAGGCUUCCACUGGGCAGGCUCCAGGUGACGGAAUUGUUCGGGCACGGCCAUUUGUGCAAAUGCAGUAAUCUGCCAUGUUGGGAAGA
Equus caballus (horse) is the source of this 2405-nucleotide long non-coding RNA. NCBI's taxonomy places the organism in Eukaryota, Metazoa, Chordata, Mammalia, Perissodactyla, Equidae. The record is from Ensembl.